AUGUGGAAAAGGGGACAGACCACUUGGGAAGAAUAUAGGGAUAUUGUCAGAGAAUGCAAGGAUGCAACAAGGAAGGUCAAGACCCAUUUGGAGUUAAAUCUGGCAAGGGAUGUCGAGGACAAGAAGAAGGGCUUUUUCAAAUAUCAGUAUCAGAGGAUGGCUAAAGAAAAUGUGAGCCUGCUGCUCAGUGAGGUGGGUGUCCUAGUGACAAAGGAUACAGAGAAGGCAGAAUUACUAAAUGCCUUUUUUGCUUCAGUCUUCACUGCUACGACCACCCCUCAGGAAUUUCUGGCCCUAGAGACAAUGAAGGAAGUCAGGAGAAAGGAGGACUUUCCCUUGGUCAGAGGAUCAGGCCAGAGAUCUCUUAGGCAAACAGAUUCAUGGGCCCAGAAGGGCCACAAGUGCAGGGAACAGACAGAUGUUAUUGCUAGCCCACUUUCCAUCAUCUUUGAAAGGUCAUGGAGAACAGACGUGCCUGAGGACUUGAAGAAAUCUCACGUCCCAUGUCUUCCAAAAGGGCAAGAAGGAAGACCCAGGAAACUACAGGACUGUCAGCUUCACCUUCAUCCCUGGAAAGGCAAUCAACUUUUGUUUCCAUGAUGCUGUUUUGAAAAUGAAGAUAUGAUCUAUUUCUGAUACAAUUUCUUCAUUGUUACCAAACAUGGAAAUGUCAGUGGUGAUUCAGGAAUAGAAAACGUAAGAUCUAUCAAGGAACUGUCUCUCUGCCUUCUUUCCAUUUCUGCUUUCAUGUGGGGUUUAUUCUUCACUCUGAACAAUUUGAAUUACAGUAGUCUCCUAGUCAAUAUGCAGAGCAUAAAGAACUUCCAUCUUGUCAUCAACACAUUCAUUAGAUUCUGUGUUUUAGUAAUGUUUAAAAAUAAGAUGUUUUUGGAAAUCAGAACUUGCUGCUUACUGUGUGAUCCUUCACAUAGUCACUGGAUAAUAUGCUUAACUAUCUUACAUGAGACUCUUGUAAUAACUUCAAAAAAGCAAUAACCAAGGUGCUCUGGUGACCCCUUUCAGUUUUCCUUCAGUGACUGACAAGAUUUAGACCAACAGCCCUUACUUGAAUCUAACUGGCUAACUUCUGUUUGACAUACGCUUUAG
This 1107-nucleotide long non-coding RNA is filed under the name Cairina moschata (Muscovy duck). RNAcentral describes it as "domestica (muscovy Duck (domestic type)) lncRNA (ENSCMMG00000012648.1)". Lineage: Eukaryota; Metazoa; Chordata; Aves; Anseriformes; Anatidae. The record is from RNAcentral.